RNAcentral lists this ribosomal RNA (426 nucleotides) under uncultured bacterium. RNAcentral describes it as "bacterial SSU rRNA". It matches the Rfam family "Bacterial small subunit ribosomal RNA", at positions 355 to 774 of the family's 1533-position model. The record is from RNAcentral.
UCGAGAAUUUUUGACAAUGGGGGAAACCCUGAUCGAGCGACGCCGCGUGGAGGAUGAAGGUCUUCGGGUUGUAAACUCCUGUCAUUUGGGAACAAGGUGCGCGCGUUAACUGCGCGCGUAUUGAUAGUACCAGAAGAGGAAGGGACGGCUAACUCUGUGCCAGCAGCCGCGGUAAUACAGAGGUCUCAAGCGUUGUUCGGAUUCAUUGGGCGUAAAGGGUGUGUAGGUGGCGCCGUAAGUCGGGUGUGAAAUUUCGGAGCUUAACUCCGAAACUGCAUUCGAUACUGCGGUGCUUGAGGACUGGAGAGGAGACUGGAAUUUACGGUGUAGCAGUGAAAUGCGUAGAUAUCGUAAGGAAGACCAGUGGCGAAGGCGGGUCUCUGGACAGUUCCUGACACUGAGACACGAAGGCCAGGGGAGCAAACG